Long non-coding RNA from Oncorhynchus tshawytscha (Chinook salmon), 1732 nucleotides. Lineage: Eukaryota; Metazoa; Chordata; Actinopteri; Salmoniformes; Salmonidae. The record is from Ensembl.
CUCCCCUCCUCUGACAACAAUCCUCACGACCACAGAGGAACCAAUAACCUCCCCUCCUCUGACAACAAACCUCACAACCACAGAGGAACCAACAAGCUCUCCUCCUCUAACAACAAACCUCACAACCACAGCGGAACCAACAACCUCCCCUCCUCUGAUAAUAAACCUCACAACCACAGAGGAACCAACAACCUCCCCUCCUCUGAUAAUAGACCUCACAGCCACAGAGGAACCAACAACCUCCCCUCCUCUGACAAUAAACAUCACAACAACAGAGGAACCAACAACCUCCCCUCCGCUGACAAUAAAUCUCCCAACAUCAGUGGAGCCAACAACCCCCCCUCUUCUGACAACAAACCUCACGACCACACAGAUUGCACCUGCACUUCCAACUACCACCCAAAAACUACUGAACUCACAACCACACCCACAAAUGUCAGUACGUACACACCCACAACUACCACAGCAUCCACAACUACCACAGCACCCACAACUACCACAGCACCCACAACUACCACAGCACCCACAACUACCACAGCACCCACAACUACCACAGCACCCACAACUACCACAGCACCCACAACUACCACAGCACCCACAACUACCACAGCACCCACAACUACCACAACUACCACAGCACCCACAACUACCACAGCAUCCACAACUACCACAGCACCCACAACUACCACAGCACCCACAACUACCACAGCACCCACAACUACCACAGCACCCACAACUACCACAGCACCCACAACUACCACAGCACCCACAACUACCACAGCAUCCACAACUUUAAGUACACACCCAACCACCGAUCUCACAACCCAUAUUGUGGACGGUACAACAACGAGCAGUGGGCCUAGAUACGUUGUUGUACUGAGGAUAAAACUGUCCUCUCUGAUCCCACUAACAGAUGACUACAUCAGAAAUGUGGUUUUACAGCAGCUCCGUGAGGAACUGAUCAGACAAGGGCUGCCAGGGGACUUCGCGCUACGCCUGAGAGCCACUCAUGGGAUCAGUUCCUGAGGGAGGAACAGGAAUUCAGAUCAACAUUCUUCACUCCUACUUGUCUUGUCUUCCUGGUUCUGAUUCUGCAGAAAGUUCUUCUGAAGAAGAAGUGGUUCCUUAUAAUGACAGAAUAUGGUUGAUUUGUACUAAUCUCUUGGGACAGACGCACGUAACAUGAAUUAUGAUUUUUGUUCUGGAUUGCCAGGAUUAGUUGAAUGGACUGACAGUGCUUCUGACUGGAUGUUAGUUGAAUGACUAACAUGACUGGGGUUCUUUACUGUUUGGUAACAUACAGAGGUAGACUGGGGUUCUUUCCUGUUUGGUAAUGUACAGAGGUAGACUGGGGUUCUUUCCUGUUUGGUAACGUACAGAGGUAGACUGGGGUUCUUUCCUGUUUGGUAAUGUACAGAGGUAGACUGGGGGUCUUUACUGUGUCAAGAAUGGUUGGUUGAGGCUCAGUUUUCUGUGACAUUUUAGUGACAGAGGACACCGGUAGGGAGGACCCACUUGUAAACACCCACACACACUCAGGAAGACGUUUCACUUUCACUCACACAUGGAGCAUAAAGAGGAAUGAACAAUGAGGUUGAAUUGACACUGACGAAAGAGAAGAAGAAAUGAAUUGACACUGACUAAAGAGAAGAAGAAAUGAAUUAACACUGACUAAAGAGAAGAAGAAAUGAAUUGACACUGACUAAAGAGAAGAAGAAAUGAAUUGACACUG